This 72-nucleotide transfer RNA is filed under the name Ictidomys tridecemlineatus (thirteen-lined ground squirrel). RNAcentral describes it as "Spermophilus tridecemlineatus (thirteen-lined ground squirrel) tRNA". It matches the Rfam family "tRNA". Rfam says of the family: Transfer RNA (tRNA) molecules are approximately 80 nucleotides in length. Their secondary structure includes four short double-helical elements and three loops (D, anti-codon, and T loops). The record is from Rfam by way of RNAcentral. Lineage: Eukaryota; Metazoa; Chordata; Mammalia; Rodentia; Sciuridae.
UGGGGUGUGGCUCAACAGUAGGGCACUCACCUAGCAUGUGCAAGGCCCUGGGUUUGAUCCUCAGCACUUCAU